Molecule: long non-coding RNA, 1504 nt
Filed under: Triticum aestivum (bread wheat)
Lineage: Eukaryota; Viridiplantae; Streptophyta; Magnoliopsida; Poales; Poaceae
Description: long non-coding RNA (TAES_LNC006577)
Source: RNAcentral
AAAGAGAAAUAUGUCAAAAGAUUUGUGUACAUAGAAAUAUCUGAGAAAUUUGUACCAUGUACUUUCUUGUGGACUACCCAAAUUGUAGACUGAGAGGUGCAUCUAAAAACUGGAUUUCAGGAGCCCACAACAGCAAGAAUUCAAGAUACAAAAAGUCAAAAUAGAUCAAUACCUAGUACACCCGGCACGAAUUAUGGAAGAGCAUCCUGCAUACAGUACCUAGUGAGACCCCCUUGUAGUUGUAGGUGCUUCCAUGUGCUAUUUAAUGUCUUAUUUCAUUCCAACUCUUUUUCCAAAUAGUAGCAAUCAACCUUGAAAACAGCAGUAGCUUGAAACGCCCUGCUCUGAACAAAUUGAGCUAUCAUAUGUUAUCUGUAAUAACAACUAUAUGUACCUUCUCUUUCCUGAAAGCGACAAUGGCUUAAAACGAUCUGCUCUGAACAAAAUCUCUCCAGCGUCAUUCUUGUUAAUUUGUUUAAUCAAUUGUGUCCAUAUAUUACUCUUGUUUUGGAAGCUAAAUGCUUUCUACCAGAAGUUCUUUACCUUGCAACCUAAAGACAUUGUGCAGAACCAAAAUUUUGAUUAAUUUUGUAAUUAUAAGACUGUAAAGUGGCAAAAUAGAGCUAAUAAUUUAACAAAAAGGGCAACCUAACUGAAUAAUUUUUACCUCUCUUCGACCAAUGUUGCCAGACUGCUGAUGGAUUCAUAGGUACCAUGAAGCCUGAUACAUACAAAAGGUGGAAUUUAGGUCGAGAUUAACAAAGGCGUAGUGUUCAGGGUAAGAGAGGAGAGCUAGGGAGGCGUUGAGCUCAUCAGCAGCAGAUCUCGAGCACGAGCAUGGAGGAGAAGAGGACCUCGAGGUUACUUAGCGCAGCGAGGCGAAGGACAGGCAGCCGGUCGCAGCACCGAGGGUGAUCCAUCAUUUAGCACAAGCUAUUUCCUUUACUUACCCUAUAAUUGCGCUUCAUGGCAUCAUCUUAAAUUCACGAGAAUACCAAUUUUUCUGUGGGCUAGAGAUCUGAAAUUCGUAGUUAGCCUGGAUGCCUGGUGGAGCAAAUUUGUAGCAUGAAUUAUCAAGUCAAUUGGUGUUUCAAGUUUACGAAUUAACUGUAAUUUAGUUACCACAUGACUGGCUAUGGGCAAGGCCGGUUAGUAAAUAAUUGAUUUGGUUUUCAAAAGAAAACGACAUGGUUCAAAAUUGAAAUGGUUUUCAAAAUAACUGAGUAGUGACUAAUGCAUGCUUUGAGUAUCAAAUCCCACUAUCUCAAUGCUUUGUGGUGCAAUGAGUAUCUCAAGAAUGAAUAGUUAAGAAUCCAUCUGUUGAAACUGUCAUUUUUUAGAUAAAAAACAUAAAUAGCUUCAGAUCAAAUAAAAAAACCGUACCAAAAUUGCUCCCUAUCGCCGUUGUCUUGAUCUGGUUGUCAAAAAAAUGCAGCCACCUCCUGUUGCAUCGUGAAUGGAGAAUAGUGGGAAGGGGAGCUUGCAGCCACACACCUUGGCUGUC